AGUGAACGCUGGCGGUAUGCCUAACACAUGCAAGUCGAACGGCAGCACAGUAAGAGCUCGCUCUUACGGUUGGCGACGGGCGGGUGAGUGAGGAGUACGUAGCCAUCUACUGUGUCUGGGGGGACAACGGAGGAACACAUACGCUAAUAGCGCAUACGACGAACGGGUGGGAUCGGUGGAGCUUGGGACCUUGGGCGAGUCAAUGAGCCGUUGUCGGGUUGGCUAGUUGGCGGGGUAACGGCCCACCAAGGCGACGAUCCGUAGCUGGUCUGAGCGGAUGAUCGGCCACCCUGGACCUGAGACACGGUCCAGCCUCCUACGGGAGGCAGCAGUGGGAAUAUUGGACAAUGGGGGCAAGCCUGAUCCAGCCAUCCCGCGUGGGUGAAGAAGGCCUUCGGGUUGUAAAGCCCUUUUGUUGGGAAAGAAACGCAGCAGGUUAAUACCCCGCUGUUCUGACGGUACCCAAAGAAUAAGCACCGGCUAACUUCGUG
RNAcentral lists this ribosomal RNA (491 nucleotides) under uncultured bacterium. RNAcentral describes it as "partial 16S ribosomal RNA". It matches the Rfam family "Bacterial small subunit ribosomal RNA", at positions 29 to 507 of the family's 1533-position model. The record is from RNAcentral.